UCCGAGUUGACCCCGGCAGUCUCCUAUGAGUCCCCGGCCGAACCGCUGGCAACAUAGAACGAGGGUUGCGCUCGUUGCGGGACUUAACCCAACAUCUCACGACACGAGCUGACGACAACCAUGCACCACCUGUUCAGGACCCUUGCGGACCCCGUAUCUCUACGGGAUUUCCCUGAAUGUCAAGCCUUGGUAAGGUUCUUCGCGUUGCAUCGAAUUAAGCCACAUGCUCCGCCGCUUGUGCGGGCCCCCGUCAAUUCCUUUGAGUUUUAGCCUUGCGGCCGUACUCCCCAGGCGGGGCGCUUAAUGCGUUAGCUGCGGCACGGAGACCGUGGAAUGGUCCCCACACCUAGCGCCCAACGUUUACGGCGUGGACUAC
This 376-nucleotide unclassified non-coding RNA is filed under the name uncultured Actinomycetes bacterium. RNAcentral's name for it is "uncultured actinobacterium contains 16S-23S intergenic spacer region". Lineage: Bacteria; Bacillati; Actinomycetota; Actinomycetes. The record is from RNAcentral.